RNAcentral lists this long non-coding RNA (361 nucleotides) under Heterocephalus glaber (naked mole-rat). RNAcentral's name for it is "lncRNA (ENSHGLG00100047968.1)". Lineage: Eukaryota; Metazoa; Chordata; Mammalia; Rodentia; Bathyergidae. The record is from RNAcentral.
CGGGGACAGCGCGGCGACGGGGACCGCGACGGCGGCGGGCGGGGGCGCAGGCCCUUCCCGUCGGACACCUCUGAGGGCAGCCCGAGCCCGCCCUGCUGGUCCGGUGUCUUGCCGGAGUGGGCAGAGGGCCAUGUUAAGAGCUGGCCACCCGUCCCUGUCACCUCAGUGCCACCCACUGCUGGAGCCCUGCUGUGCUCGCUGAGCCCCAGCUCUCAGCCUCUGCCACCCUGGAUGAGCAGCCCACUCCACUCCAGUCCCAGCCCUGUGAAGCGCUGGCCCUCGCCACACUUCCUGGGGAGAGACAGCCGGCGAGCGGCCAGGCAGUGGCUGGUGUUGGCACUCAGUGCUGCACUUAGCCUUG